RNAcentral lists this ribosomal RNA (253 nucleotides) under uncultured bacterium. RNAcentral describes it as "partial 16S ribosomal RNA". It matches the Rfam family "Bacterial small subunit ribosomal RNA", at positions 524 to 776 of the family's 1533-position model. The record is from RNAcentral.
UACGUAGGGGGCUAGCGUUGUCCGGAAUCAUUGGGCGUAAAGAGCGCGUAGGCGGCCAGAUAAGUCCGGUGUGAAAGUCAAAGGCUCAACCUUUGAAUGCCGCUGGAAACUGUCUGGCUAGAGUCCGGGAGGGGCGAGUGGAAUUCCUGGUGUAGCGGUGAAAUGCGCAGAUAUCAGGAGGAACACCAAUGGCGAAGGCAGCUCGCUGGAACGGUACUGACGCUGAGGCACGAAAGCUAGGGGAGCGAACGGG